UCCUGCCCGGUGAUUUUAACGGCCGCGGUAUCCUGACCGUGCAAAGGNNNNNNNAAUUUGCCUCCUAAUUAGAGGCUGGCAUGAAUGGAUUUACGAAAGUAUAGCUGUCUCCUACUAAAAUAUAAAAACUAAACUUCAAGUGAAGAUGCCUGAAUUUUACUAAAGGACAAAAAGACCCUGUUGAGCUUCACCUACAAUAAAUAUCACAAUUUACUAAGGUUUAGUUGGGGCGACUAAGGAAGAAAUAAAGCUUCCUCAAUAAAUAGACUAAUAUGUCCUAUAAAUGAUCCGCUAAAGCAAUCUAAAGAAAAGCUACCACAGGGAUAACAGACCAAUUCUUCUUAAGAGCUCAAAUUGACAGAAGAGCUUGGCACCUCGAUGUUGGCUUAAGGUUUCCUCUAUGUGCAGCAGCCUAGAAGGUAGGUUUGUUCAACCUUUAAAACCUU
RNAcentral lists this ribosomal RNA (446 nucleotides) under cf. Lumbrineridae sp. DH-2009. RNAcentral describes it as "partial 16S ribosomal RNA". It matches the Rfam family "Bacterial large subunit ribosomal RNA", at positions 1857 to 2597 of the family's 2925-position model. The record is from RNAcentral. Lineage: Eukaryota; Metazoa; Annelida; Polychaeta; Eunicida; Lumbrineridae.